CAGCAGCCACGGUAAUACGGAGGGGGCAAGCGUUAUCCGGAAUUAUUGGGCGUAAAGGGUACGUAGGUGGCCUUUUAAGCGUAGGGUAUAAGGCAAUGGCUCAACCAUUGUUCGCCCUAUGAACUGGAAGGCUUGAGUGCAGGAGAGGAAAGCGGAAUUCCUAGUGUAGCGGUGGAAUGCAUAGAUAUUAGGAGGAACAUCAGCGGCGAAGGCGGCUUUCUGGACUGCAACUGACACUGAGGUACGAAAGCGUGGGGAGCAAACAGGAUUAGAUACCCCCGUAGUCCCUGUCUCUUAUACC
Molecule: ribosomal RNA, 301 nt
Filed under: uncultured bacterium
Lineage: Bacteria
Description: partial 16S ribosomal RNA
Rfam family: Bacterial small subunit ribosomal RNA
Source: RNAcentral